UAAUUUUUGAACAUGUCUAUGUGUAAGAAAUUCAUGCUUUUUUGCUUUUGUGCAAUGUUGGUGGGCUUGGUCUUGAUUGGAGAAGUAAAUGCAAAUGAACCAAUCGGCUACGGGGCUAUGGCAGGUGGUCGCCAACCUCCAUGCAAAGGAGACAAGUGCCUGCCACCUCCAUCAAAUCCUGGAAGUAGAGGUUGUGAAAGUAUCGAGAAAUGUCGACACCCAUGAAGUUGGUCAUGCUUGAAAAGGCUUCACUCCCAAUGUUUAUCGUGUCAAAAACUUGUUUAUAAUAAUUCUGGCUAUAUAUUUGCAAAUAUCUUCGAGUUAUACAAGCCAAUCUCUUUUACCUACUAAUAAAGCACUCAAACAAAGAAAUUGGUAUCUAUGAUCACUGUAACAUUUUUACCCUUUUACUACAAAAUUUUAGAUGCAAUUUUUCUUAUGUAACUAAAUUCAUCAUAUUACUCUUGAUACAUUUCAUUUAAUUACACUAUUUAAAUUGUAAUCCCAUAAAAAAAUUAAGAAGAGAAAAGCCCACAAAAUAAAAGCAGCCAACAGCCUAACAAAAAACAAACAAAAGCCCCUUGCCCUUUACGUGGUCAAAUAGACUAUAUUCUUGAAAAAUCCCUUUAGCUCUGCCUUGCUGCUUUCUCUUUUCAUGAUUCCAGAAAAUGCCAAACAAAUGAAGAGUUGAUGAUGCCAACCAACUCAAAUGGAUUUGUGUCAUGCGUAGUCCUAGACUUGUUCCUAUAUUUGAGCUUGCCCAUUUUAAUUCCCAGGUGCUCUGCUCCGUACAAAUUAUUUGAUCUACUCUCAAUUUUUCUAAGACAGGAGUAAGAUGACUUUGGUUGCUUGAGAAUCUGACAUAGGCAGACAAGAAGAAGCAGCUGAAGCUUAUGAUAUUGCUGCAAUUAAGUUUAGGGGAACAAGUGCUGUAACCAAUUUUGACAUAAGUAGGUAUGAUGUAAAGAGAAUUUGCUCAAGCUCUACUCUUACUAACCUCAAGUCAAGUCAGCUUAUAAUUAGUAAGCUUUUAACAUUAAAUCCCCAAAAGACCCUUUAACUCUUUACCUCUCAUUUCCAUCUUAUCUCACAGAUCCGAAUCUUUUUCUUCUUCUUCUAUGAAGGUACAUGUUUUGUUAUUGCUUUUUUCAAGUUUCAAUCUUUAACCCAGUUUUUGUUCAUAGCUGUCAUUAUCAUUUGGUCAUUCUUUUUGGGUGCUUUUCCUUUGCUAUAAGUUUUUCAGAUUAGAUCAGCUAACUGGGUUUUGCAUGGUAGAUUUGUUUUGCCUUGUUGGGUUUUUCUUUUUGAAGUCCCAUAUCGGGUUCUGAGGAUGCUAGGAAAGGGAAAUGAGGAUAAAAGUUCGUAAAAGAUUAUGAGUUUAUGUUUUGUUCUGUGUUGCCUUUACUCUAAAAAGGAAAAAAAGAUUGUAAAAAGUUUAGCUUUGCUUGAGUUUAGGUUGCAAAUACUGGCUCUAUGGAUUGGCAUUUAUGUUUUCUUAAGACCAUAAUUGAGGAUGAAUUAAUUGAUUCAAAGUUCAAAGCUA
Non-coding RNA from Theobroma cacao (cacao), 1543 nucleotides. The record is from RefSeq and is a predicted model, not a curated record. NCBI's taxonomy places the organism in Eukaryota, Viridiplantae, Streptophyta, Magnoliopsida, Malvales, Malvaceae.